RNAcentral lists this long non-coding RNA (2146 nucleotides) under Homo sapiens (human). RNAcentral describes it as "HSALNT0345318". The record is from RNAcentral. Lineage: Eukaryota; Metazoa; Chordata; Mammalia; Primates; Hominidae.
CGUUACCUGCGGAGGGUUUGAGGCAGGCCCAAGAGCGAGCCCAUGGUCUUCCGACGCGGGGCCAGGGGCGGGCCCCAGGAUCCGGAGCUUCGUGCGGGGCCGAGUCCAGUUAGGGCGACUGUCCCUGGGAUCGUCGGGUCAGGCCUUGGGCUAACGUAGGCACUCUCGCAGUUCCUCCGCCUUCAGGAAGGUCUUUUCAGCAGGGGCCUUACGGGUGCAUGCUUCGGUCCUGGAGGCCUUAUCCUAGCCUCCUCUCCAUCAGCGCCACCCGUCUGGGGCCCGAAAGGAGGGAGCUUUCCCUCUGUCCCCCAGCCUUUGGACUGUCACCAAACAAGCCAUUCGUUCAUCAAAUACUUUUUAAGCGCCUACCAUGUGCCUGACAAGGGAGAUGUAACGGUGAGAAAAACUAGGUGUGGUCCAGGCCCUUCAGGGGCUCAGGUGCUCGUGGAAGAAGUGGACAUUGAAGUACUUAUCACACAAAUGAGGAUAAAAGUACGAUAGCGAUAUCUACCACGAAGCUGUUGUUCCCCACCAGAACCAAAUGAGCGCAAGAUCUGACAAAGAAAAAAAAAGGUUCAUCUUUUAUUCCUCCAAACACUUUCAUUUAAAUCAAGAGGAUGGGAUGUGGUUAUUGCUGUGUUUUUAGACAGAAUCAACGGUUUCUGGGUCUGAGAUGUUGCAUACACCUUCUCAGUCCCUGUAUCCUGAGAUGGAGUCACCUGAGAAUCCACAGCAAGUCCUAACCAGGGAUGGGUCUGGGUGAUUAAGGAAGGUUGGCUUCAGAACUGGGCCAGGGGCACUGCUUUGCUUUUGCUGUUUUGAUCAGCUCUCUGCCUGAAGGAGACAAGAAAAACCAACGGGAACAGCCCAGUAAAGGCGCCAUUCCCCAUUUUACAGCUGGGGAAACUGAGUUACAGAGCUUGUCUGCACUGAGUCAUCAGGAGCAAAUGCUAGAUCAGAUAGGGUCUCUCUCUCUGCCACCCAGGCCAGAGUGCAGUUGACGCAGGGCAGGGGAGCCCCGAAGUGGAGCAUAGUGUGUCCGGAACUGGUGGGUUCUUGGUCUCACUGACUUCAAGAAAGAAGCCGCGGACCCUCGCGAAACUCCUGGAGGGCAGAGGCAUGCCUGCCAUCUUCAUCAUUGCAUUACCACCACCCAACACUAUCGGGGGACCUGCCCUGAUAAUCAGUCUACAGGUGUAUCCAGCAGCUCCAGAGAGACAGCGACCAGCGAGAAGGGGCCAUGAUGAUGGAGGUGGUUUUGUCAAAACGAAAAUGGGGAUAUGUAGGGAAAAGAAAGAGAGAUCAGACUGUUACUGUGUCUACAUAGAAAGGGAAGACAUAAGAGACUCCAUUUUGAAAAAGACCUGUACUUUAAACAAUUGCUUUGCUGAGAUGUUGUUAAUCUGUAGCUUUGCCCCAGCCACUUUGCCCCAACCACUUUGACCCAAUCUGGAGCUCAUAAAAACAUGUGUUGUAUGAAAUCAAGGUUUAAGGCAUGUAGGGCUGUGCAGGACGUGCCUUGUUAACCAAAUGUUUGCAAGCAGUAUACUUGGUAAAAGUCAUCACCAUUCUCUCAUCUCAAUAAACCAGGGGCACAAUGCACUGUGGAAAGCCGCAGGGACCUCUGCCCUUGAAAGCUGGGUAUUGUCCAAAGUUCCUCCCCAUGUGAUAGUCUGAAAUAUGGCCUCGUGGGAUGAGAAAGACCUGACGGUCCCCCAGCGCGACACCCAUAAAAGAUCUGUGCUGAGGUGGAUUAGUCAAAGAGGAAAGACUUGCAGUUGAGAUAGAGGAAGGCCACUGUCUCCUGACUGCCCCUGGGAACUGAAUGUCUCGGUAUAAAACACGAUUGUACAUUUGUUCAGUUCUGAGAUGGGAGAAAAACCGCCCUAUGGUGGGAGGCGAGACAUGUUUACAGCAAUGCUGCCUUGUUAUCCUUUACUCCACUGAGAUGUCUGGGUGGAGAGAAACAUAAAUCUGGCUUACAUGCACGUCCAGUCAUAGUACCUUCCCUUGAACUUCAUUAUGACAUGGAUUCUAUUGCUCACGUUUGUUGCUGACCUUCUCCUUAUUAUCACCCUGCCCUCCUACUACAUUCCUUUUUGCUGAAAUAAUGAAGAUAAUAAUCAAUAAAAACUGAGGGAAUUCA